RNAcentral lists this ribosomal RNA (253 nucleotides) under uncultured bacterium. RNAcentral describes it as "partial 16S ribosomal RNA". It matches the Rfam family "Bacterial small subunit ribosomal RNA", at positions 524 to 776 of the family's 1533-position model. The record is from RNAcentral.
UACAGAGGUGGCAAGCGUUGUUCGGAAUUACUGGGCGUAAAGGGCGCGUAGGCGGCCCGUCAAGUCCCGUGUGAAAGCCCCCGGCUCAACCGGGGAACGGCGCGGGAAACUAGCAGGCUUGAGUUCGGGAGAGGGAAGCGGAAUUCCGGGUGUAGCGGUGAAAUUCGUAGAUAUCAGGAGGAACACCAGUGGCGAAGGCGGCUUUCUGGACGGUAACUGACGCUGAGACGCGAAAGCGUGGGGAGCAAACAGG